Molecule: long non-coding RNA, 2390 nt
Filed under: Gossypium barbadense (sea-island cotton)
Lineage: Eukaryota; Viridiplantae; Streptophyta; Magnoliopsida; Malvales; Malvaceae
Description: long non-coding RNA (GBAR_LNC015124)
Source: RNAcentral
CCGAACAUCCCUUUCCCUUUUCCUUUACCUGUUCACUGGCAAAGUUUUAUCAGCUAUUUCCAUCAGCUUCCCGUUUCCAUUGCUAAUCCUACGCCACUAGAUCCACCAUCUCUUCUGUCGUGGUAAUCAUCCUCCUCCAUCGGGAACAUUGGUACUCAUGGCCCAGUUUGUCUUCUGUCUCUCUCCACCUCCCUCAUAACAAAUCCCGGCACCUCAUCCAUAAGGUAAAUCAUUUCCCCGCUUUUUAGUCCCUCUGUAGCUAUAAUGUGUGACGAUUAAUUUCCCCCUUUAGCAGUGUAUAGAAACUUGCAGCUAUGGAAACCCUCCCUUAACUUCUGUAUAUCCUUGAUAAUAGCCCCAAUAACCGAAUCAUCUUCCCGAUUGCUGCACAACUUUUUCACUACUUUUUCACAGCUUUUUAAAACAUCGUGUUUAAGUUAUUAAUACGAUUUGUACAAACAUGUUUACAAAUUGAUAUAUAUAUGUUUUUAAAUAUUUUCACGAUAAAUCCAAGUUAUACUUAAACUAACAAGGUUAAAAAAAUAUGAUUAAUUCACGCGUAGAUCUCGAAAAGUUAAUCGAAAUAAAAAAAAUCGCCUCAAUCGGACAACCGAGCGAAAAGUUAUGGUCUUUCAAGGUUUUCCAAGCUAAAAAACAUAAACUGUUCAUGAAUUAUUACUUCAAAAUGCUUUUUUUGGAGGGAAAAUACCAAAAAGCCCUAUAUUUUUAAAAUUUAUCGAAAUGGGCCCGGUAUUUUAUUUUUUUGACCGUUUGGUAGUGUUCACGCGCGGGCCGAAAUCGCGGCCACGUCAGCGCGCUUUGCUGACGUGGCCGCGAUUUCCUAGCGCGUACCUUGAUAUUACGCUGACGUGGACGCGAUUUCGCAAAAAAUGGACCAUUCCAGUAAAUAAUUAAAUAAUGGGCCCAUUUCGAUAAUUUUUGAAAAAAAGGGCUUUUAUUGGUAAAUUGCCCAUUUUUUUGCUAUAUUAACCCCUGAAAGCCGAACAUCCCUUUCCCUUUUCCUUUACCUGUUCGCCGGUAAAGUUUUAUCAGCUAUUUCCACCAACUUUUCGUUUCCACUGCUAAUCCUACGGCACUAGAUCCACCAUCUCUUCCGUCGUGGUAAUCAUCCUCCUCCAUCGCGAACAUUGGUACUCAUGGCCCAGUUUGUCUUCUGUCUCUCUCCACCUCCCUCAUAACAAAUCCCGGCACCUCAUCCAUAAGGUAAAUCGUUUCCCCGCUUUUUAGUCCCUCUGUAGCUAUAAUGUGUGACGAUUAAUUUCCCCCUUUAGCAGUGUAUAGAAACUUGCAGCUAUGGAAACCCUCCCUUAACUUUUGUAUAUCCUUGAUAAUAGCCCCAAUAACCGAAUCAUCUUCCCGAUUGCUGCACAACUUUUUCACUACUUUUUCACAGCUUUUUAAAACAUCGUGUUUAAGUUAUUAAUACGAUUUGUACAAACAUGUUUACAAAUUGAUAUAUAUAUGUUUUUAAAUAUUUUCACGAUAAAUCCAAGUUAUACUUAAACUAACAAGGUUAAAAAAAUAUGAUUAAUUCACGCGUAGAUCUCGAAAAGUUAAUCGAAAUAAAAAAAAUCGCCUCAAUCGGACAACCGAGCGAAAAGUUAUGGUCUUUCAAGGUUUUCCAAGCUAAAAAACAUAAACUGUUCAUGAAUUAUUACUUCAAAAUGCUUUUUUUGGAGGGAAAAUACCAAAAAGCCCUAUAUUUUUAAAAUUUAUCGAAAUGGGCCCGGUAUUUUAUUUUUUUGACCGUUUGGUAGUGUUCACGAGCGGGCCGAAAUCGCGGCCACGUCAGCGUGCUUUGCUGACGUGGCCGCGAUUUCCUAGCGCGUACCCUGAUAUUACGCUGACGUGGACGCGAUUUCGCAAAAACUGGACCAUUCCAGUAAAUAAUUAAAUAAUGGGCCCAUUUCGAUAAUUUUUGAAAAAAAGGGCUUUUAUUGGUAAAUUGCCCAUUUUUUUGCUAUAUUAACCCCUGAAAGCCGAACAUCCCUUUCCCUUUUCCUUUACCUGUUCGCCGGUAAAGUUUUAUCAGCUAUUUCCACCAACUUUUCGUUUCCACUGCUAAUCCUACGGCACUAGAUCCACCAUCUCUUCCGUCGUGGUAAUCAUCCUCCUCCAUCGCGAACAUUGGUACUCAUGGCCCAGUUUGUCUUCUGUCUCUCUCCACCUCCCUCAUAACAAAUCCCGGCACCUCAUCCAUAAGGUAAAUCGUUUCCCCGCUUUUUAGUCCCUCUGUAGCUAUAAUGUGUGACGAUUAAUUUCCCCCUUUAGCAGUGUAUAGAAACUUGCAGCUAUGGAAACCCUCCCUUAACUUCUGUAUAUCCUUGAUAAUAGCCCCAAUAACCGAAUCAUCUUCCCGAUUGCUGCAC